Molecule: ribosomal RNA, 643 nt
Filed under: uncultured Lachnospiraceae bacterium
Lineage: Bacteria; Bacillati; Bacillota; Clostridia; Lachnospirales; Lachnospiraceae
Description: bacterial SSU rRNA
Rfam family: Bacterial small subunit ribosomal RNA
Source: RNAcentral
UUCUUUCCAUCUUAGUGGCGGACGGGUGAGUAACGUGUGGGCAACCUGCCCUGUACUGGGGAAUAAUCAUUGGAAACGAUGACUAAUACCGCAUGUGGUCCUCGGAAGGCAUCUUCUGAGGAAGAAAGGAUUUAUUCGGUACAGGAUGGGCCCGCAUCUGAUUAGCUAGUUGGUGAGAUAACAGCCCACCAAGGCGACGAUCAGUAGCCGACCUGAGAGGGUGAUCGGCCACAUUGGGACUGAGACACGGCCCAAACUCCUACGGGAGGCAGCAGUGGGGAAUAUUGCACAAUGGUCGAAAGCCUGAUGCAGCAACGCCGCGUGAAGGAUUGAAGGGUUUCGGCUCGUAAACUUCUAUCAAUAGGGAAGAAACAAAUGACGGUACCUAAAUAAGAAGCCCCGGCUAACUACGUGCCAGCAGCCGCGGUAAUACGUAGGGGGCAAGCGUUAUCCGGAAUUACUGGGUGUAAAGGGAGCGUAGUCGGCAUGGUAAGCCAGAUGUGAAAGCCUUGGGCUUAACCCGAGGAUUGCAUUUGGAACUAUCAAGCUAGAGUACAGGAGAGGUAAGCGGAAUUCCUAGUGUAGCGGUGAAAUGCGUAGAUAUUAGGAAGAACACCAGUGGCGAAGGCGGCUUUCUGGACUG